This 479-nucleotide ribosomal RNA is filed under the name uncultured bacterium. RNAcentral describes it as "partial 16S ribosomal RNA". It matches the Rfam family "Bacterial small subunit ribosomal RNA", at positions 28 to 507 of the family's 1533-position model. The record is from RNAcentral.
GAUGAACGCUGGCGGCGUGCUUAACACAUGCAAGUCGAGCGAGAAGUUUUGAAGAGAUUCUUCGGAUGAAAUUUAAAAUGGAAAGCGGCGGACGGGUGAGUAACGCGUAGGCAACCUGCCCCAUACAAAGGGAUAGCAUUUGGAAACGAAUAUUAAUACCUUAUGAAACUUAACUAGUGCAUGCUAGGUAGGUCAAAGAUUUAUCGGUAUGGGAUGGGCCUGCGUCUGAUUAGCUAGUUGGUGAGGUAACGGCUCACCAAGGCGACGAUCAGUAGCCGACCUGAGAGGGUGAACGGCCACAUUGGAACUGAGACACGGUCCAAACUCCUACGGGAGGCAGCAGUGGGGAAUAUUGCACAAUGGGGGAAACCCUGAUGCAGCAACGCCGCGUGAACGAUGAAGGCCUUUGGGUCGUAAAGUUCUGUUCUAGGUGAUGAAAACUGACAGUAACCUAGGAGAAAGCCCCGGCUAACUCCGUG